Molecule: ribosomal RNA, 165 nt
Filed under: uncultured bacterium
Lineage: Bacteria
Description: partial 16S ribosomal RNA
Rfam family: Bacterial small subunit ribosomal RNA
Source: RNAcentral
CUAGUAAUGGCAGGUCAGCAUACUGCCGUGAAUACGUUCCCGGGCCUUGUACACACCGCCCGUCACACCAUGAGAGUUGGGAAUACCCGAAGCCUGUGAGCUAACUUUUAGAGGCAGCAGUCGAAGGUAGAAUCAAUGAUUGGGGCGAAGUCGUAACAAGGUAGC